This 794-nucleotide ribosomal RNA is filed under the name Nocardioides sp. Its description in RNAcentral is "bacterial SSU rRNA". It matches the Rfam family "Bacterial small subunit ribosomal RNA", at positions 66 to 874 of the family's 1533-position model. The record is from RNAcentral. Lineage: Bacteria; Bacillati; Actinomycetota; Actinomycetes; Propionibacteriales; Nocardioidaceae.
GCGGAAGGCCACUUCGGUGGUACUCGAGCGGCGAACGGGUGAGUAACACGUGAGUAAUCUGCCCUUGGCUUCGGGAUAGCCACCGGAAACGGUGAUUAAUACCGGAUAUGACCGUCUGCCGCAUGGUGGGUGGUGGAAAGUUUUUUCGGCCAGGGAUGUGCUCGCGGCCUAUCAGCUUGAUGGUGAGGUAAUGGCUCACCAUGGCUUCGACGGGUAGCCGGCCUGAGAGGGUGACCGGUCACACUGGGACUGAGACACGGCCCAGACUCCUACGGGAGGCAGCAGUGGGGAAUAUUGGACAAUGGGCGGAAGCCUGAUCCAGCAACGCCGCGUGAGGGAUGACGGCCUUCGGGUUGUAAACCUCUUUCAGCAGGGACGAAGCGCAAGUGACGGUACCUGCAGAAGAAGCACCGGCCAACUACGUGCCAGCAGCCGCGGUAAUACGUAGGGUGCGAGCGUUGUCCGGAAUUAUUGGGCGUAAAGGGCUCGUAGGCGGUUUGUCGCGUCGGGAGUGAAAACCAGGUGCUUAACACCUGGCUUGCUUUCGAUACGGGCAGACUAGAGGUAUUCAGGGGAGAACGGAAUUCCUGGUGUAGCGGUGAAAUGCGCAGAUAUCAGGAGGAACACCGGUGGCGAAGGCGGUUCUCUGGGAAUGACCUGACGCUGAGGAGCGAAAGUGUGGGGAGCGAACAGGAUUAGAUACCCUGGUAGUCCACACCGUAAACGUUGGGCGCUAGGUGUGGGGUCCAUUCCACGGAUUCCGUGCCGCAGCUAACGCAUUAAGCGCCCCGCCU